This 1023-nucleotide ribosomal RNA is filed under the name uncultured Parcubacteria group bacterium. Its description in RNAcentral is "bacterial SSU rRNA". It matches the Rfam family "Bacterial small subunit ribosomal RNA", at positions 28 to 1094 of the family's 1533-position model. The record is from RNAcentral.
GAUGAACGCUGGCUGUAUGGAUGAGUCAUGCAAGUCGAACGGUCCGCAAGGACAGUGGCAAACGAGGUAGUAACGCGUACGAACGUACUCCCAAGUCGGGCAUAGCUUGUCGAAAGACAAGGUAAUUCCCGAUGGUCCCUACGGGGUAAAGAUUUAUCGCUUGGGAAGCGGCGUGCGCUGUAUCAGCUUGUUGGUAAGGUAACGGCUUACCAAGGCUACGACGCAUAGGGGAGGUGAGAGCCUGACCCCCACCGAUGGGACUGAGAACGGCCCGUACCCCUACGGGGGGCAGCAGACGAGAAUACUCCGCAAUGGACGCAAGUCUGACGGGGCGAUACAGCGUGGUGGAUGAAGUGCUUCGGUACGUAAACACCUUUUAUGUGGGACGAAAUUAUUGACGGUACCACAUGAAUAAGGGGCUCCUAACUCUGUGCCAGCAGGAGCGGUAAUACAGAGGCCUCAAGCGUUAUCCGGAAUCAUUGGGCGUAAAGCGUGUCAAGGGGGUUAUGUUAGUCUUCCGUAAAAUCCAGGAGCUCAACUUCUGGUCCGCGGGAGAUACGGCAUGGCUCGAGGUUGGAAGAGGUGCGUGGAACUCACGGUGUAGGGGUGAAAUCCGUUGAUAUCGUGGGGAACACCAAAGGCGAAGGCAGCGCACUGGUCCAAAUCUUGACUGCUCACACACGAAAGCCAGGGUAGCGAAUGGGAUUAGAUACCCCAGUAGUCCUGGCCCUAAACGUUGCUCGCUCGUUCUACGGAGUAUCGACCCUCUGUGGGACUAAGCUAACGCGGUAAGCGAGCCGCCUGGGUAGUACGAUCGCAAGAUUAAAACUCAAAGGAAUAGACGGGGACUCGCACAAGCGGUGGAUCAUGUGGCUUAAUUCGUAGCUAAGCGAAGAACCUUACCAGGGCUAGAAACCAAGCUGCACGCCUCCAGAAACGGAGGAAGCCUUCGAGGGUGCUUGGCAGGUGAUGCAUGGUUGUCGUCAGUUCGUGGCUUGAGCUGUUCCCUUCAGUGGGGCAACG